This 389-nucleotide ribosomal RNA is filed under the name uncultured bacterium. RNAcentral's name for it is "partial 16S ribosomal RNA". It matches the Rfam family "Bacterial small subunit ribosomal RNA", at positions 338 to 724 of the family's 1533-position model. The record is from RNAcentral.
CCUACGGGUGGCAGCAGUGAGGAAUAUUGGUCAAUGGACGAGAGUCUGAACCAGCCAAGCAGCGUGAAGGAUGACUGUCCCGUGGGUUGUAAACUUCUUUUAUCUGGGAAUAAAAUGUUCCACGUGUGGGAUUUUGUAUGUACCUGAUGAAUAAGCAUCGGCUAACUCCGUGCCAGCAGCCGCGGUAAUACGGAGGAUGCGAGCGUUAUCCGGAUUUAUUGGGUUUAAAGGGGGCGUAGGCGGUUUUGUAAGUCAGUUGUCAAAGUCUGGGGCUCAACCGUCGAAUUGCAGUUGAAACUGGCAGUCUUGAGUACGAUAGAGGUGUGCGGAAUGCGUGGUGUAGCGGUGAAAUGCUUAGAUAUCGCGAAGAACUCCGAUUGCGAAGGCAG